Molecule: ribosomal RNA, 253 nt
Filed under: uncultured microorganism
Description: partial 16S ribosomal RNA
Rfam family: Bacterial small subunit ribosomal RNA
Source: RNAcentral
UACGUAGGGCGCGAGCGUUAAUCGGAUUUACUGGGCGUAAAGCGUGCGCAGGCGGCCCGUUAAGACAGGUGUGAAAUCCCUGGGCUCAACCUAGGAAUUGCGCUUGUGACUGGCGGGCUCGAGUACGGUAGAGGGGGGUGGAAUUCCUGGUGUAGCAGUGAAAUGCGUAGAGAUCAGGAGGAACACCGAUGGCGAAGGCAGCCCCCUGGGCCUGUACUGACGCUCAUGCACGAAAGCGUGGGGAGCAAACAGG